UGUGGGCACGGCGUCACCCGGGGGACACGUGUCACCCACAUCCCCCUGUCCCCGAGGGUCCCCGUGUCACCCCUGGUCCCGGUGUCCCCAACAGUCUCAGUGUCACCCAAGGUCCCCGUGUCACCCCUGGUCCUGGUGUCCCCAAGGGUCCCGGUGUCCCCAAGGGUCUCAGUGUCACCCAAGGUCCCCGUGUCACCCCUGGUCCUGGUGUCCCCAAGGGUCCCGGUGUCCCCAAGGGUCUCAGUGUCACCCCUGGUCCCGGUGUCCCCAAAGGUCUCUGUGUCCCCGGGGUCCUCAGUGUCACCUCCAGUCCCAGUGUCACCGAGGCUCCCCGUGGUCCCGGUGUCCCCCAAGGGUCUCGGUGUCCCCAAGGUCCUCAGUGUCACCUGGGGGCUCAGUGUCCCCAAAAGUCCCCCUGUCCCCAACCAUCUCAGUGGCCCCGAGGGUCCCGGUGUCCCCCGUGGUCUCGGUGUCCCCAAGGGUCUCGGUGUCACCCCUGGUCCCAGUGUCCCUGAGGGUCCCCGUGUCCCCAACAGUCUCAGUGUCACCCAAGGUCCCCGUGUCACCCAAGGUCCCCGUGUCACCCGUGGUCCUGGUGUCCCCCAACCAAGGGUCUUGGUGUCCCCAAAAGUCCCCCUGUCCCCAGCCAUCUCAGUGGCCCCGAGGGUCUCGGUGUCACCCGGGGUCCCCAUGUCACCUGUGGUCCCGGUGUCCCCGAGGGUCUCGGUGUCACCCGUGGUCUUGGUGUCCCCAAGGGUCCCGGUGUCGCCCGUGGUCUUGGUGUCCCCAAGGGUCUUGGUGUCACCCGUGGUCCCGGUGUCCCCAAGGGUCUUGGUGUCACCUGUGGUCCCAGUGUCGCCUGUGGUCUUGGUGUCCCCAAGGGUCUCGGUGUCACCCCUGGUCUUGGUGUCCCCAAGGGUCUCGGUGUCACCCAUGGUCUCGGUGUCCCCAAGGGUCUCGGUGUCCCCAAGGGUCUGGGUGUCCCCCGUGGUCCCGGUGUCCCCCGUGGUCCCGGUGUCCCCCGUGGUGGCGGUGUCCCCGGGGAGGUGACACUUGUGGCGCAGGAGGUGGCGGUAGCGGGUGGUGGCAGCGGCCACCGCCUCCUGCAGCUCGGCCACCUCCAGCGCCACCGUCACCCCUGGGGUCAGGGGUCACCGGGGGGUCAGAGGUCACGGGGA
RNAcentral lists this long non-coding RNA (1178 nucleotides) under Calidris pygmaea (Spoon-billed sandpiper). Its description in RNAcentral is "lncRNA (ENSCPGG00000017642.1)". Lineage: Eukaryota; Metazoa; Chordata; Aves; Charadriiformes; Scolopacidae. The record is from RNAcentral.